CCAGCACUGGACCAGCGAGAUGGCCAUGCGAUGGUUGAGAGCACGCACUAUGGAAUGGGCCACGUGUUGAUGCACGAAAAACCGAUACCUUGGCCAUCCCAUCGCCAUCCCGCCGCGCCAUAAGCCAUCCGAUACCACUACCAUCUCUACACGCUGGCCCAUCUUAGUGGGGCAGUAUGAUGGUCCAUCGUGUAGAGGAGCCAU
This is a long non-coding RNA of Cydia fagiglandana, 204 nucleotides long. RefSeq lists it as uncharacterized. NCBI's taxonomy places the organism in Eukaryota, Metazoa, Arthropoda, Insecta, Lepidoptera, Tortricidae. The transcript is spliced from 2 exons. The record is from RefSeq and is a predicted model, not a curated record.